CAAGUGUCGUUGUGCAAUGAUAGUAAUGAGGUGAACAAGGCAGAGGCUGUAACACUAUGCAAUGGAAUCAAGGACAAUGCACCACCCAACUCCACAGGAAGCCUGGAGAAGUUGAGCUUGUGGAGGGAUAAUCGUAUGGCAGAGGAGGGCUUAGAGGAGAGUCCACUCAAGCUGGCGGCUUUAGAAGGAAAAGGGGAAGUUAUCGUUUUUGUUGUUGGUGUUGAAAGGGUUAAAAGGGCUUUUGCAGAAGCUGAAGAAAAUUGAAGGGUUCUUCUUGCACCAUGGGCCGCCAUCUUUGUCUGUUUCUUUCUUUCUGUCAAGAAGCUAAGCAAAACCCCUCCACUCUCUCGUCUACCUGUCUAUGCUUGUUCUACGGGAAGAAAAGGUUGGCGUUACUGGGCUGGAUUAGGGUUGCUUGGACUAUGGGAUGGUUUGUUGCCGUAGAAAAUAAAAGAAUGCUUA
Molecule: unclassified non-coding RNA, 462 nt
Filed under: Hevea brasiliensis (rubber tree)
Lineage: Eukaryota; Viridiplantae; Streptophyta; Magnoliopsida; Malpighiales; Euphorbiaceae
Source: RNAcentral